GACGAACGCUGGCGGCGUGCUUAACACAUGCAAGUCGAGCGAUGAAGCUUCCUUCGGGAAGUGAAUUAGCGGCGGACGGGUGAGUAACACGUGGGCAACCUGCCUAUAAGAGGGGGAUAGCCAUCCGAAAGGGUGAGUAAUACCGCAUAAUAUGUUUUUAUCGCAUGGUAGAAAUAUUAAAGGAGUAAUCCGCUUAUAGAUGGGCCCGCGGCGCAUUAGCUAGUUGGUGAGGUAACGGCUCACCAAGGCAACGAUGCGUAGCCGACCUGAGAGGGUGAUCGGCCACAUUGGGACUGAGACACGGCCCAGACUCCUACGGGAGGCAGCAGUGGGGAAUAUUGCGCAAUGGACGAAAGUCUGACGCAGCAACGCCGCGUGGGUGAUGACGGUCUUCGGAUUGUAAAGCCCUGUCUUCGAGGACGAUAAUGACGGUACUCGAGGAGGAAGCCACGGCUAACUACGUGCCAGCCGCCGCCGUAACAC
Molecule: ribosomal RNA, 483 nt
Filed under: uncultured bacterium
Lineage: Bacteria
Description: bacterial SSU rRNA
Rfam family: Bacterial small subunit ribosomal RNA
Source: RNAcentral